This 192-nucleotide ribosomal RNA is filed under the name uncultured Pseudoalteromonas sp. Its description in RNAcentral is "partial 16S ribosomal RNA". It matches the Rfam family "Bacterial small subunit ribosomal RNA", at positions 336 to 520 of the family's 1533-position model. The record is from RNAcentral. Lineage: Bacteria; Pseudomonadati; Pseudomonadota; Gammaproteobacteria; Alteromonadales; Pseudoalteromonadaceae.
UUCCUACGGGAGGCAGCAGUGGGGAAUAUUGGACAAUGGGCGCAAGCCUGAUGCAGCCAUGCCGCGUGUGUGAAGAAGGCCUUCGGGUUGUAAAGCACUUUCAGUCAGGAGGAAAGGUUAGUAGUUAAUACCUGCUAGCUGUGACGUUACUGACAGAAGAAGCACCGGCUAACUCCGUGCCAGCAGCCGCGG